UGGGGAAUAUUGGACAAUGGGCGCAAGCCUGAUCCAGCAAUGCCGCGUGUGUGAAGAAGGCCUUCGGGUUGUAAAGCACUUUUAUCAGGAGCGAAACGCUGUCGGCUAAUACCCGGCGGAACUGACGGUACCUGAGGAAUAAGCACCGGCUAACUUCGUGCCAGCAGCCGCGGUAAUACGAAGGGUGCAAGCGUUAAUCGGAAUUACUGGGCGUAAAGCGUGCGUAGGCGGUUUCUUAAGUCUGCUGUGAAAUCCCCGGGCUCAACCUGGGAAUGGCAGUGGAUACUGGGAGGCUAGAGUGUGUCAGAGGGUGGUGGAAUUCCCGGUGUAGCGGUGAAAUGCGUAGAGAUCGGGAGGAACAUCAGUGGCGAAGGCGGCCACCUGGGACAACACUGACGCUGAGGCACGAAAGCGUGGGGAGCAAACAGGAUUAGAUACCCUGGUAGUCCACGCCCUAAACGAUGCGAACUGGAUGUUGGUCUCAACUCGGAGAUCAGUGUCGAAGCUAACGCGUUAAGUUCGCCGCCUGGGGGAGUACGGUCGCAAGACUGAAACUCAAAGGAAUUGAC
Molecule: ribosomal RNA, 569 nt
Filed under: uncultured bacterium
Lineage: Bacteria
Description: partial 16S ribosomal RNA
Rfam family: Bacterial small subunit ribosomal RNA
Source: RNAcentral